RNAcentral lists this transfer RNA (126 nucleotides) under Thermochaetoides thermophila DSM 1495. RNAcentral describes it as "Chaetomium thermophilum var. thermophilum DSM 1495 tRNA". It matches the Rfam family "tRNA". From Rfam's summary of the family: Transfer RNA (tRNA) molecules are approximately 80 nucleotides in length. Their secondary structure includes four short double-helical elements and three loops (D, anti-codon, and T loops). Lineage: Eukaryota; Fungi; Ascomycota; Sordariomycetes; Sordariales; Chaetomiaceae. The record is from Rfam by way of RNAcentral.
GCGGGUUUAGCUCAGUUGGGAGAGCGUCAGACUGAAGAAUUGGGUCCUCAAGACCCAUAAACUUCGGGAACACAAUCCACAUUGUGGGAUAUCUGAAGGUCGUGUGUUCGAUCCACACAAACCGCA